CUAUAUUUUGACAGGCGUAAAGCAGCAUUAAACUAGUUAUAUACAUAUAUAUGUAGGUAUGUACAUGUUUUUUUUUUAAAUAAUUAAAGCAAAAGGGUUUCUUUCAAAUGAGGCUAGAUUACUGAGUUUUAUUACUUUGUUCAAUAAAGUAUUAUUUGCGCAAGAGACAGGGCGUGGAAGCGAUUGAUUAUUGGGUUGUGAUAUGCAAAUACAUGCAGAUUCAUACAUACAUAUACAUAUGUAUAUGGUACAUAUGUAGGUACAUAUGUGGCUGACAGGGGAAAGGACGCAUAUGCGAACGAAAAAAAGUUAAAUAUGAAUAUACAUAUGAAUUUGUCAUCUGUCAGACACGCGAAAAAAGCCACCAUACAGUCA
Molecule: non-coding RNA, 375 nt
Organism: Drosophila virilis
Lineage: Eukaryota; Metazoa; Arthropoda; Insecta; Diptera; Drosophilidae
Source: RefSeq, a predicted model, not a curated record